This is a non-coding RNA of Salmo salar (Atlantic salmon), 54 nucleotides long. The record is from Rfam. NCBI's taxonomy places the organism in Eukaryota, Metazoa, Chordata, Actinopteri, Salmoniformes, Salmonidae.
UGCACUCACUGCUGGAAGUCACUCUGGAUAAGAGCGUCUGCUAAAUGACUAAAA